Molecule: ribosomal RNA, 844 nt
Filed under: uncultured bacterium
Lineage: Bacteria
Description: SSU rRNA
Rfam family: Bacterial small subunit ribosomal RNA
Source: RNAcentral
UACAUAGGUGGCAAGCGUUAUCCGGAAUUAUUGGGCGUAAAGAGUGAGUAGGUGGCCAUUUAAGUCACAAGUCAAAUGCAGUAGCUCAACUACUGUUCGCUUGUGAUACUGAAAGGCUAGAGUGCGAGAGGGGUAAGCGGAAUUCCAUGUGUAGCGGUGAAAUGCGUAGAUAUAUGGAGGAACACCAGUGGCGAAGGCGGCUUACUGGCUCGUAACUGACACUCAGUCACGAAAGCGUGGGGAGCAAAUAGGAUUAGAUACCCUAGUAGUCCACGCUGUCAACUAUGGAUGCUAGAUAUUGGGGAAACUCAGUGCCGAAGCUAACGCGAUAAGCAUCCCGCCUGGGUAGUACGUUCGCAAGAAUAAAACUUAAAGGAAUUGACGGGAGCCCGCACAAGCAGUGGAGCAUGUGGUUUAAUUCGACGCUACUCGAAGAACCUCACCAGGACUUGACAUCUGGUUAAAUACCCUAGAGAUAGGGGGAUAGUUAUAGCCAAGACAGGUGGUGCAUGGUUGUCGUCAGCUCGUGUCGUGAGAUGUUGGGUUAAGUCCCGCAACGAGCGCAACCCUCGUCCUUAUUUGCCAUCAUUUAGUUGGGAACUAUAAGGAGACUGCCGAUGUAAAUCGGAGGAAGGUGGGGAUGACGUCAAAUCAUCAUGCCCUUUAUGUCCUGGGCCACACACGUGCUACAAUGGCCGAUACAAAGAGUCGCUAACCCGUAAGGAUCAGCAAAUCUCAAAAAAUCGGUCUCAGUUCAGAUUGAGGUCUGCAACUCGACCUCAUGAAGCUGGAAUUGCUAGUAAUCGCAAAUCAGCGAUGUUGCGGUGAAUACGUUCUCGGGCUU